GACAGAGGUGGCAAGCGUUGUUCGGAAUUACUGGGCGUAAAGGGCGCGUAGGCGGCCUUCUAAGUCGGACGUGAAAGCCCCAGGCUUAACCUGGGAACUGCGUCCGAUACUGGAAGGCUUGGAUUCGGGAGAGGGAUGUGGAAUUCCAGGUGUAGCGGUGAAAUGCGUAGAUAUCUGGAGGAACACCGGUGGCGAAGGCGGCAUCCUGGACCGAGAUCGACGCUGAGGCGCGAAAGCUAGGGGAGCAAACGGG
Molecule: ribosomal RNA, 253 nt
Filed under: uncultured bacterium
Lineage: Bacteria
Description: partial 16S ribosomal RNA
Rfam family: Bacterial small subunit ribosomal RNA
Source: RNAcentral